UACAGAGGUCUCAAGCGUUGUUCGGAUUCAUUGGGCGUAAAGGGUGCGUAGGCGGCGCGGUAAGUCGGGUGUGAAAUCUCGGAGCUUAACUCCGAAACUGCAUUCGAUACUGCCGUGCUUGAGGACUGGAGAGGAGACUGGAAUUUACGGUGUAGCGGUGAAAUGCGUAGAUAUCGUAAGGAAGACCAGUGGCGAAGGCGGGUCUCUGGACAGUUCUUGACGCUGAGGCACGAAGGUCAGGGGAGCAAACAGG
RNAcentral lists this ribosomal RNA (253 nucleotides) under uncultured bacterium. RNAcentral describes it as "partial 16S ribosomal RNA". It matches the Rfam family "Bacterial small subunit ribosomal RNA", at positions 524 to 776 of the family's 1533-position model. The record is from RNAcentral.